ACCACAAUCUGGAAUUCACAAUGUUGCCCAAAACCAAGUGCUGAAGCAUCGAACAAGUAGCAGAAUAGCUGGUCAUUUCUACAGGAAUGGGGGCAGGAUAACCCAUCGGCGAGGAUAUUUAGGUCUUCCAUCCUUUCCAUCAAAAAGCUUCUUCAAUCGCCGGUGCUUUGCAAGGGCCCAGUUGGUCAUGAUCAUAGCAGCAACCACUAAAAAGGCAUAGCCUGCAACAGUCUGUGUUGCAAUAUUGAAACCCAACCACUGAUAAAUCUCAGUUGUGUAAUUUGCACAUGUCACAAUAUUGAAGAGAAACCCAUGUGGGAUUUGGUACCCUCCACUCCCAUCUGGAGUGCGAAGAUUUCUCAGCAAAAUGUGGCAAUAAAAGUUUGCAACUUGACAAACCAAACCAAAACCAAAACCAAUCUUCAUUUGAAGAUCACUAACAGGAGUGUAAAGUGGGUGGUUCACAUAGUAGGCAAUGUAGGAACCAAAGGUCCAAUAAUAAGCACAAUUUCGGAAAACAUUGGACAGAGGUGAAGUUGCAUGACUAAAUCGAUGCACAAAAAAUGUUUCCAUGAUACGUUUGAAGUAGUGGAAGCACCAAUAGUAUAAAGCAUAUGUCUGAACUGGGCGAAUGACACGCUCCCCCUUGUAGCCAAAGUACUGGUACACAGGGAAGAAGUAGAAGACAGGAUAUAUGAUCAAAGGACCCAAGUACUCCCAGAAAAAAAGUGUGCGGUAAGAAACUUGUGGACCCAGGUCCUUGAAAACUACAGUUAUGUUGUCCGAAUUCCCAUCACAGUAAUCCUUAAGACUCUUCUUGUAAUGAAGGACAAUAGGCCUGUCCUUUGAUCCCAGUGGAAGAGGCAGGGUCAGUCGCUGUCUUGAAGGGUAGAAUUUUUUGGUUCGCUUAUAGAUUGCCUCCUGCAGAUCAGCCACUAUAGCUGAAUCAUUAAGCUCAAGGCCUCCUUUGACAAUCUCUCUACCACUGCGUGAAACUACAGCUACCUUCAUUUUCGAGAUGAAAUGAGCGAGACCCAAUUCACCAAAUGACAAGCAAACAAACGCUUUAAAACUCCAAAGGAUUCAGCUCAAGAUUCAGAGAGAGAACAACAGGAGCUGAGAGAACCAAAGGAGGAACUAAGAAUUUUGAACGAG
This 1155-nucleotide unclassified non-coding RNA is filed under the name Hevea brasiliensis (rubber tree). The record is from RNAcentral. Lineage: Eukaryota; Viridiplantae; Streptophyta; Magnoliopsida; Malpighiales; Euphorbiaceae.